UUGAGGAUGACACUCUAUACAGAACUGAAAUUGAUUCUACAAUCGUUGAAAGACCUAUUGUGAGUCAUGUCGCUGACGACUUUAUUGACGUUGAGGUGAACAAUUGUCACAUCAAAGCAUACAAGUGACGACAAAUGAUAUUUCGAUGAGACAGAUGUGAUUGAGUUCAUUGAGGAUCUAAAUAACAAUGUCGGAGGGUCAUCAUCGAUGGAUGACAAUUCGAGUGAGUCUAAUGGUACAUUAACUCACAAUUAUUUGAACUUAUUUCUCACAUUAACUUGUUGGUUUAAUUUAUUCAGCAGAAACUAGUCAACCAUCUUUGACUCCUAGAAGACAUGUGCAGUCUCAACUCCUGAAGUUGGAGUGUUACGUUCAUGCCAAUGGGAGGAAUUCAAUAUCCAUAUCCUCUGACGUAGAGAAGCCUAUUUCACCAUACAUUGUUCGGUUCAGCUAGGUGAUUGACGUGUGUGUAAGAAAGACAUUUCCAAUCUGCUGCCUUAGAUGGACGAAUGUAGGAAGAGAAUACAUUGAGGUCAUCAAAGGUAACCUACAGGUAGGUCCAAUACACAAUUAUGUUUUCAUUUGAUAUGUUUGGUAUUUCAUACAAGAAGCUUCUACUUUGUCAACUUUUCAUUUCAUAUGUUCGAUAUUUCAUAUAAGAAGCUAUGCUUCACCCUUUUUCCAAAAACUCUAAGAAACGAGAUGAAAAUAUGGAAAAUCUCCUUAGAUAAUAAGGAGGUAAGAACUUGGAAGCAGCUAAUCGAGAAAUUAAUGAAAACAUUCUUCACACACCAUGAAAAUGCGAUGGAGGGACAUUAUGUGCUUUCAGUAGAAGGAUAGAGAGAAUAGACACAACGCGUGGAGUAGGUAUAAAUAAUUGGUGAAAGCAUGCCUUUAUCAUGGAAUUCUUGAGUGCAUAUUAGUGGAAGUCUUCUAUUUCAGGCUUAACAAAGUAACACCAACAAACUAUUGAUGUUGUGUUUGUUAGCGAUAUGCUCAAAAGUACAUACAAGAAGAUGAAGAUUACAUUGGGCUUAAUGGCUAGAAAUUAUAAAGAAUGGGAUGACAACGUUUUGACAAAAAUGCAAUGGUGGCAUUACAAGGCCAAAUGACUACCAUGAUUAAUCUACUAAAAUCUAUGGCUUUAUUGCAAGUUAAUGUCGCAGGCUGCUCAACUUAGGCAAUAAAGCAUGUGGAUGAAAAAGGAUGCAUUGGAUGCGACGAAACUUAUAAUGUUGAUGCAUGCCCCACUAAAUACUGAAUCUAUCACAUUCAUCAAUCACAACCCUUACUCUAACACAUACAAUCAAGAUUGGAGAAAUCAUCCCAACUUUGGGUGGGGAGGGAUAGGUUAACAACAUCAAACCCGAUAGGUGGUUAAGGUGAAGAAUGUUGUAAAGAAAUCAUCCACAACAAUAAAUCACACCAUCACUCACUUCAACAACAACAAUCCCACACUACUUCUUUGUUAUCAUCCUCAUCCAUGGAGAACCUCCUCUAGGAAUAUAUGCUAAAGAAUGAUACCCUUUUGUAAAGUCAAGUCAUGUCAAUCAGGAAUCUGGAGUUACAGUUGGGGCAACUAACCAGCGAUUUCUCCAAAAGACCAAAGGGAUCCCUCGCAAGUAGCAUUGAAAUGUCCAACUAGGUGGGGGAAUCCAAAAAGGACCAGUGUCAACCUAUGAUGCUACGAAGCAUAAGAAACUUGGCCAUCUACAAACCAGACCCAAAAUGUAGACCUUUUACUUCUUGGCCUAAUACUAUGAAUGAUUAACCCACAAGUACUAUUUUUUAUCCCUUUGUUAUUUCCAUGAAUCAUGAUGUUCAGAAAAACAAGGAAGUGGCGACUUCUAGGUGAGACACAGAAUACAGGGAGACACUAAAGUAGGCGUCAUCUUAUGAUCAAUUGUAGCCUCAUCCAUUUCUUGGUCGCUUGAAGAAGAAAGAUGACAAACAAUAAUUUAACAAGUUUUUUGACAUACUGAAGCAACUUCAUAUCAAAAUUCCAUUUUUUGAUGUGUUAAGUAAAUGCCUUCACACGUUAAAUUCUUGAAGGACAUACUUGCCAAGAAAUGAAGGAUGAAUAAAUAUGAGUCAGUAGCUCUAAUGCAGGCAAAUAGUGACAUCUUCAAAAAUGGGAUUCCAGAGAAUAUGACAGACCUUGGAAACUUCACUAUGCUCUGCCCUAUAAGCCUAAUGCCACUGUUUAUUUUUCAAAAAAUUGGGGAUAAGAAAGGUAAAACCUACUACACUAGAGCUUAAGUUGGUUAGCAGAUCCAUUGCACUACCUGAGGGAAAAAUUGAAGAUGUCUUGGUUAAGGUGGACAAGUUGAUAUUCCCUGCAGACUUCAUCAUUUUAGAUUAUGAAGCUGAUCGAGAGGUACCUAUCAUUUUAGGAUGACCAUUCAUGUCGACAGGUCAAACCCUAAUUAUUGUCUACUAAGGGAACUAGACGAUGUGAGUUAAUGACCAAGAUGUAAUUUGAACGUUGUUGAUGCGUUAAACUCCCUAAAAAUGUAAUGAACUACAACACAAUUGAAUCCCUAGGUUGGGAUUAUUGUAAUGAAGAAGUCAUAUAGUCAAGCUAUUUAGCUCUGAAAAAUUCGUUGAAGAGUUCCCUAAAGGUGUCCUUGAGGAAGUAAAUGUCAUGUCUGAUGUAAGAAAGUUUGAGCCUUUGGAUUUGCAAACCAAAGGUAAUUAGAAGAUAAAGUCAUCAAUUAAAGCGCCACCAAAAUUAGAGCUCAAGUCAUUACCAACCCACCUGAACUAUGCAUAUUUGGGGGAAAAUGACACUGCCAGUCAUCAUCUUCGCCCACUUGAAUGCUGAAGAAGAGAAGGUGUUAAUGGAAAUGUUAAAAUGCCAUAAAAAAGCGAUAGGAUAGACCCUACCGAACAUUCAAGAAAUAAGCUCAUCCUAGACAUGCAUUAGAUCAGGUUGGAAUAUGGGCACAUUGGCGUCAUUCAAUAUCAAAGGCGAUUAAACCUUGCGAUGAAAGAAGUUGUAAAGAAAGACAUCAUCAAGUGGCUGGAUGUAAAAGUAAUUUAUCUUCACUUGUACUGAAUGGUUCAGCCCAGACCAAUGUGUGCCCAAGAAAGGUGGAAUUACUGUCAUUACUAAUGAAGACAAUGAAUUGAUUCUAAUGGGAACAGUCACUGGGUGGAGGAUAUAUAUGGAUUACUGCAAGUUGUAUGACCAUUUCACAUACCUUUCAUUUAUCAAAUGUUGGAUUGGCUUGCAGGAAAUAAGUAUCGUUGCUUUCUGAAUGGUUAUUUUGAGUAUAACCAGAUAACAAUUGCACUAGAAGACCAACACAAGGCGACCUAUCCCUCUGGCACGUUUACCUCUCGUUGCAUGCUCUUUGGACUGUGCCAACACACCAGGAAAAUUUCAAAGGUGCGUGAUGGAGAUAUUUCACAUAGUUAAAAACAAAGUAACAAAUAAAGCAAAUUUCAAAA
Molecule: long non-coding RNA, 3453 nt
Organism: Cucumis melo (muskmelon)
Lineage: Eukaryota; Viridiplantae; Streptophyta; Magnoliopsida; Cucurbitales; Cucurbitaceae
Exons: 2
Source: RefSeq, a predicted model, not a curated record